Molecule: ribosomal RNA, 181 nt
Filed under: Enterobacter roggenkampii
Lineage: Bacteria; Pseudomonadati; Pseudomonadota; Gammaproteobacteria; Enterobacterales; Enterobacteriaceae
Description: partial 16S ribosomal RNA
Rfam family: Bacterial small subunit ribosomal RNA
Source: RNAcentral
AAAUUGAAGAGUUUGAUCAUGGCUCAGAUUGAACGCUGGCGGCAGGCCUAACACAUGCAAGUCGAGCGGUAACACAGGGAGCUUGCUCCUGGGUGACGAGCGGCGGACGGGUGAGUAAUGUCUGGGAAACUGCCUGAUGGAGGGGGAUAACUACUGGAAACGGUAGCUAAUACCGCAUAAU